UUCUGAGAGGCACAGCUCUGUCUACUGGGAAACGCGCUAAAAGUCCUUCUGGAGGUGUAACAUCUACCAAUGGUUGUACAUGACACCACCUCUUUGCUGUCCUACUAGUCAACCCUCCUGAUCAGAGCCUUUCCUAAAUAGUGAAAGGGUCAAAAAGUUUCCUGUACAUGGUACCAUGCCUGUCCUCUGUUCCACAUGUCUUCAGUCCGUUCUGGACCCAUGACUCGGACACUAGUUCUACCAAGGCUCAUUAGAGAGUGCUUCAGAGGAUGGCUGAAUUAACAAAACGUGGAGAAGACCGAGAGGGAGAAGUUGGCCGGUUACUACAUUUCACAAAAAAUACAGGACCUUGUGAAAAACUGAAAGAAACAAUUGAAGGAAACUGCUUAAAAAUAUGAAAUGCAAACAAAGAGCCGUCUGUCUGGUUUCUCUGCGCAGGUGAAUGUCCCGCUGCCUGCAGCCGCUAACGGAGCUGCGUAGUGCCCAUCCUCCAGCGGACCCGAGCCUGGCACCGUCCUGCGGGAUGCUGCGGGAAACCGUGCCCGCUCACAGGCUCUCUGGUCCGCAGCAGGUGUACCCGCGCCCCCCCCCACACGGUGCAACCUCCUCUUGGUCUCUAGCUAACCUCGGUCUGUCAGGUUGACCCCUCUGUUUUCAGUCCAGCAUCAGCAUCAGCAGCUAAGAUGUACAUGACAGUUUAUAGGAUAACGAUGAAAAUAAACAUGCACUGCUCACAAGCUAAAGAGCAGGUGAAUGCUUGUGUUACCUUCUUUCUUCAGUGGGACCGGAGCCUGGGG
Gymnodraco acuticeps is the source of this 797-nucleotide long non-coding RNA. RefSeq lists it as uncharacterized. NCBI's taxonomy places the organism in Eukaryota, Metazoa, Chordata, Actinopteri, Perciformes, Bathydraconidae. The transcript is spliced from 5 exons. The record is from RefSeq and is a predicted model, not a curated record.